GACGAACGCUGGCGGCGUGCUUAACACAUGCAAGUCGAACGGAAAGGCCCUGCGUUUGUGGGGUGCUCGAUUGGCGAACGGGGGAGUAACACGUGAGCAACCUGCCCUUGACUUUGGGAGAACUUAAGGAAACUGGGGUUAAUAUCGUAUAGCAGCUCCUGUUGCAUUGAGGGGGUUGGAAAGUUGCGGCUGGUGGGGAUGGAUGCGCGGCUUAUCAGCUUGUUGGUGGGGUAGGUGCUUACCAAGGCUUGGACGGGUAGCCGGCAUGAGAGGGUGACCGGCCACAUUGGGCCUGAGAUACGGCCCAGACUCCUACGGGAGGCAACAGUGGGGAGUCUUACACAGUGGGAGCGAGCGUGAUGCAACGACGCCGCGUGUGGGAUGACCGCCUUCGGGUUGUAAACCGCUUUCGCCUGUGACGCAGCGUGAGUGACGGUAAUGAGUGAAGAAGCACCGGCUAACUACGUG
Molecule: ribosomal RNA, 468 nt
Filed under: uncultured bacterium
Lineage: Bacteria
Description: partial 16S ribosomal RNA
Rfam family: Bacterial small subunit ribosomal RNA
Source: RNAcentral